Molecule: ribosomal RNA, 269 nt
Filed under: uncultured bacterium
Lineage: Bacteria
Description: partial 16S ribosomal RNA
Rfam family: Bacterial small subunit ribosomal RNA
Source: RNAcentral
GUCCUAGCCGUAAACGAUGGACACUAGGUGUUGGUUCCUUCUGGGACCAGUGCCGCAGGUAACCCGAUAAGUGUCCCACCUGAGGAGUACGGCCGCAAGGUUGAAACUCAAAGGAAUUGACGGGGGCCAGCACAAGCGGUGGAACAUGUGGUUCAAUUCGAUGCUACGCGAAGAACCUUACCCAGGCUUGACAUACAGGGAGUAGGAACCUGAAAGGGGGACGACUCGUAACCAGUCGAGAUCCUGUACAGGUGCUGCAUGGCUGUCGU